This 253-nucleotide ribosomal RNA is filed under the name uncultured bacterium. Its description in RNAcentral is "partial 16S ribosomal RNA". It matches the Rfam family "Bacterial small subunit ribosomal RNA", at positions 524 to 776 of the family's 1533-position model. The record is from RNAcentral.
UACGUAGGGUGCAAGCGUUGUCCGGAAUUAUUGGGCGUAAAGAGCUCGUAGGCGGUUUGUUGCGUCGGCUGUGAAAUCCCGAGGCUCAACCUCGGGUCUGCAGUCGAUACGAGCAAACUAGAGUGUUGCAGGGGAGACUGGAAUUCCUGGUGUAGCGGUGAAAUGCGCAGAUAUCAGGAGGAACACCGGUGGCGAAGGCGGGUCUCUGGGCAACAACUGACGCUGAGGAGCGAAAGCGCGGGGAGCAAACAGG